This 421-nucleotide ribosomal RNA is filed under the name uncultured Methanospirillum sp. Its description in RNAcentral is "bacterial SSU rRNA". It matches the Rfam family "Archaeal small subunit ribosomal RNA", at positions 322 to 747 of the family's 1478-position model. The record is from RNAcentral. Lineage: Archaea; Methanobacteriati; Methanobacteriota; Methanomicrobia; Methanomicrobiales; Methanospirillaceae.
CCUAUGGGGUGCAGCAGGCGCGAAAACUUUACCAUGCGGGCAACCGUGAUAAGGAAACCCCGAGUGCCAGACAAUACUGGCUGUCCAUCAGUGCAAAGAGCUGGUGAAGAAAGGGCCGGGCAAGACCGGUGCCAGCCGCCGCGGUAAUACCGGCGGCUCGAGUGGUGGCCGCUAUUACUGGGUUUAAAGGGUCCGUAGCUUGAUAGACGGGUCCCUUGAGAAAUCCGGACGCUUAACGUCCGGGCGUUCAGGGGAAACUGUUUUUCUAGGGACCGGGAGAGGUGAGAGGUACUGCCGGGGUAGGAGUGAAAUCCUGUAAUCCCGGUGGGACGACCGAUGGCGAAGGCAUCUCACCAGAACGGCUCCGACAGUGAGGGACGAAAGCUGGGGGAGCAAACCGGAUUAGAUACCCUCGUAGUCC